This 1075-nucleotide long non-coding RNA is filed under the name Ictidomys tridecemlineatus (thirteen-lined ground squirrel). RNAcentral describes it as "lncRNA (ENSSTOG00000030595.1)". Lineage: Eukaryota; Metazoa; Chordata; Mammalia; Rodentia; Sciuridae. The record is from RNAcentral.
GAGGAUUCAGACAAUAAUAUCUAAAGGCAAUCAUGGGACCUUGAACCAGCUGGAGCUGAAGGCUCCUGCCUGUGAGCCCUCCAGGGAGGGACCGCUGCAUUCCUCCCCCCACAUCAGGGCCUGGCAUGCUGCAAGUGCUCUUGCAGCUCGGAUACUGUUGCAAGAAUGGCUGAAUGAAGGAGGGUCUCCCCAAACUACAGUAAGCUCCUCUGCUGCUGGAGGGUCCCGUGCUCCCUCCCUCAGCAGAAGUUUCUUUUCACACCCUCCAAGCCACACCACCACAUUUUGGGAGAGAUAUGCAGCAUCAGAUUCCUGAGAGAGAGAUGUCAAGCACCACUGAAGAAAGUCAUGUGCAAAGAGGCUACGUGGAGUCCAGCAGGUUGUUUGUCACAUAGCCUGAAGCAUCAUUGAAAGCAUACAUCCUCAACCUCUUCUUCCUUUGAGGGCAGUUUUUAUAUUUGGAAAUGGCAAACAAGGCUGAGAUUGAGGUAGGUCAAUAAGCUGGAUAAUACCAUGUGGGAUAAAAAUCUUCUGACAACCAGCAUCAAGAAAGUGGUUAAGACAGGGAUUUUACUUGUUUGUUUUGGGGUUUUGGUGGUUUGCUGUUUUUGUGUUGCAGAAUCAAUGGAAUGAUUUCUUCUUCUUUUUUUCUUUCUUUCUUUCUUUUCUUUUUUUUUUUUGCUUUUUGCUUUUUUUCAGUGCUAGGGGUAGAACCCAGAGCCACUGCAUGAUACAAGGCAAGCACUUUACCACUGAGCAACAUCCCCAGUCCCACUGAGUAAUUUGAGAACUAUUCUUGAAGUGCAUCCCACAAUCAGGUACCCACUCAGGCAUGGGAUCCCUGCCCUGGAGGUGAGAGAGGGUCUCAGUCUACUGGGGAGACAAACAGGCAACUCAUGAGACCUAAUUACUUACCAUCUCAUCACAAAGCUUGAGACCUUGUCUACACUCUGACCCCCACCCUGCCCCACCCAACCCACCAGUCCCUUCCCUUUGUCACUUUCUUCUGGCCUCUGCUCAGAACACUGAACACUGCUGGAGAAGACUUCUCAGCCAGGUACAAUGCCAGGGCUAC